UGUACUGAUAUUACCUUACCUGUUAACAGUGGGGGGGUUUAUUCUGCUGCUCUGGACUGGAUCCCACGGUAGGUGGCGGUAGUGAACCAAUAAAUAGUUGGAUUGCUCGCCAGAAACCCAACCAGGCAGGCCGACUGUUGUUACCAUGCAACGAGCAGACGCUUGUGAAAAGUACUAGCUACAAAAUUGUCUCAAUUGCUUGCUGCGCGUGUGUGUGUGUGUAUGUUGCUAAUCUAGCUAGUUAGCAAGCCAUCAAUAAAGUUCCUAACGUUACAACUUGGUAGACGGCUGGAGCACCGACACCGGAGAGUCUGCCUAUCGUUCCCGAGAUGCUGUCAAAAACCUUACAAUUAAGAUCCAUAUUCAGAGAUUCACCUCCACAGCAGCCCUCUCCCAACACCUUCAGCAGCAGGUUUUGACUCAACAGGAGAGGAGAGGCAUUGAGCUGGACACCCUCAACUCACCGGCUCAAUCAGCCGGAGAUGAUGAGGAGGAGUUGGUGGUAGGCUGGCAGGAGAAGCUGUUCAGUCAGUGGUUUUGUUCCAGAGUGAGUCAGUAUACCAGACUCCACUGGAGAGACAGUACCACACAGAGAUCAUGGCUCUGAAGCGGACCAGGGGCAGACCGGAACCGCAGGACUUUCACCUACACCGAUUCUGACUGCUACACCAAUUGGGAAGGGGUGGGUUUCUACUGAAUCUCCAUUUCUGUAACGGUUCCAUAACCACAGACGCUGGAAGACAGGAAGCAAGUACAGGCUUUCCCAGAGUAUGGUGAGGCAGGUCAAGUCCAACCCUACCUUCCUGGCACAUAGGAUGGCCAAUGUCAGACACAGACGACAGGACAGACAGCCAGUUGACAGCACCUUCCCCAAGUCCAGGCUGAUUACCUGGGAGCCCUCGGAGGACUUUGUGAAGACCAGCCACGUGGUCAACACACCUGUACAGACCAUGCGCAUCAUGGAUGACCUGGGACCACCGGGCAAACUUGGCCAAAAGGAGAAGGAAUGCUUGUUGUGCACGAUAAGAGCAGAUGGAAAUGGAGUGGUUACCAUCAAACCAGACUUCAACAAAGG
Salmo salar (Atlantic salmon) is the source of this 1075-nucleotide non-coding RNA. Lineage: Eukaryota; Metazoa; Chordata; Actinopteri; Salmoniformes; Salmonidae. The record is from RefSeq and is a predicted model, not a curated record.